UGUCUUGACUUUAUUUAUCAAAGAAAUAAAACUUCUGGUCUUGACAUGAGGAUAUUUUUUGUAAUUUUGGCUUUAGUUUUGAUCUCGAAGAUAUUAACAGUCAACCCAUCUAUUCUCUAUGGACAAUUACUUAAUCUACAUCCAGUUAAGAAACGUUCUGCUUCGCAACCACCUAUACCACCAGAGGAUGUAUCGUGUGCUGCAUGCAAAGAAAAGUUUAAAAAUUCAAGGCAAUGCAGUAGAUUUUGUUCAUCAGCUCCAGGUAUGACCUAACAUCGCUUUAACGAGAAAAUAACACACUGGAAAGUACACGUGUUGGAAAAGGAGAGAAAACCAUUUAAAUUUAUAGCGUUUAUAAGCAAUAAACCAAAAAUGUAA
Long non-coding RNA from Saccostrea cuccullata (small rock oyster), 378 nucleotides. RefSeq lists it as uncharacterized. NCBI's taxonomy places the organism in Eukaryota, Metazoa, Mollusca, Bivalvia, Ostreida, Ostreidae. The transcript has 3 exons. The record is from RefSeq and is a predicted model, not a curated record.